CCUACGGGUGGCAGCAGUGAGGAAUAUUGGUCAAUGGCCGCAGGGCUGAACCAGCCAAGUCGCGUGAGGGAUGACGGUCCUAUGGAUUGUAAACCUCUUUUGUCAGGGAGCAAAGGGCGCCACGUGUGGCGCUUUGCGAGUACCUGAAGAAAAAGCAUCGGCUAACUCCGUGCCAGCAGCCGCGGUAAUACGGAGGAUGCGAGCGUUCUCCGGAUUUCUUGGGUUUAAAGGGUGCGCAGGCGGAAUGUGAAGUCAGCGGUAAAAUUUCGGGGCUCAACCCCGUCGUGCCGUUGACACUGGCGUUCUUGAGUGAGCGAGAAGUAGGCGGAAUGCGUGGUGUAGCGGUGAAAUGCAUAGAUAUCACGCAAAACUCCGAUUGCGAAGGCAGCAGACCGGCGCUCAACUGACGCUCAUGCACGAAAGCGUGGGUAUCGAACAGGAUUAGAUACCCGAGUAGUC
RNAcentral lists this ribosomal RNA (459 nucleotides) under uncultured bacterium. RNAcentral's name for it is "partial 16S ribosomal RNA". It matches the Rfam family "Bacterial small subunit ribosomal RNA", at positions 338 to 795 of the family's 1533-position model. The record is from RNAcentral.